RNAcentral lists this ribosomal RNA (492 nucleotides) under uncultured bacterium. RNAcentral describes it as "partial 16S ribosomal RNA". It matches the Rfam family "Bacterial small subunit ribosomal RNA", at positions 29 to 507 of the family's 1533-position model. The record is from RNAcentral.
AGUGAACGCUGGCGGUAGGCCUAACACAUGCAAGUCGAACGGCAGCACAGUAAGAGCUUGCUCUUACGGGUGGCGAGUGGCGGACGGGUGAGGAAUACAUCGGAAUCUAAUUUUUCGUGGGGGAUAACGUAGGGAAACUUACGCUAAUACCGCAUACGACCUACGGGUGAAAGCAGGGGAUAUUCGGACCUUGCGCGAUUGAAUGAGCCGAUGUCGGAUUAGCUAGUUGGCGGGGUAAAGGCACACCAAGGCGACGAUACGUAGCUGGUCUGAGAGGAUGAUCAGCCCCACUGGAACUGAGACACGGUCCAGACUCCUACGGGAGGCAGCAGUGGGGAAUAUUCGACAAUGGGCGCAAGCCUGAUCCAGCCAUACCGCGUGAGUGAAGAAGGCCUUCGGGUUGUAAAGCCCUUUUGUUGGGAAAGAAAAUCAGCAUAUUUAUACCCCGAUGUUCUGACGGUACCCAAACAAUAAGCACCGGCUAACUUCGUG